GAGGAGGAAGAGGAAGAGGGGUGAGGGAGCGGAGGACAGCAGAGCGGAGAGCAUGGCUGCAGCGAGGAAGAGGAGAAUGAGGAGGCGACGAAGAACCCUGACUAUAACCAGACAGGGAGGAACCUUGGAGAGGUGGCCUUGGUGUUAUCAGGCUGAAUGCCACGGGUUGCCAUGGAAACCUUAAAGGAGAACAGCCGCCGCUCCGUCCAGACUGGCGACCUGUCCAGGUGACCCUGCCUCCAGGUGACCCCGCCUCCAGGUGACCCCGCCUCCAGGUGACCCC
Molecule: long non-coding RNA, 283 nt
Organism: Xiphophorus couchianus (Monterrey platyfish)
Lineage: Eukaryota; Metazoa; Chordata; Actinopteri; Cyprinodontiformes; Poeciliidae
Exons: 3
Source: RefSeq, a predicted model, not a curated record